RNAcentral lists this ribosomal RNA (301 nucleotides) under uncultured bacterium. RNAcentral's name for it is "partial 16S ribosomal RNA". It matches the Rfam family "Bacterial small subunit ribosomal RNA", at positions 509 to 809 of the family's 1533-position model. The record is from RNAcentral.
CAGUAGCCGCGGUAAUACGAAGGGGGCUAGCGUUGUUCGGAUUUACUGGGCGUAAAGCGCACGUAGGCGGACUUUUAAGUCAGGGGUGAAAUCCCGGGGCUCAACCCCGGAACUGCCUUUGAUACUGGAAGUCUUGAGUAUGGUAGAGGUGAGUGGAAUUCCGAGUGUAGAGGUGAAAUUCGUAGAUAUUCGGAGGAACGCCAGUGGCGAAGGCGGCUCACUGGACCAUUACUGACGCCGAGGUGCGAAAGCGUGGGGAGCAAACAGGAUUAGAUACCCCCGUAGUCCCUGUCUCUUAUAA